UUAGAUUAGAUUAGAUUAGAUUAGAUUCAACUUUAUUGUCACUGCCACAGGCAACGAAAUGCAGUUAGCAUCUAACCAGAAGUGCAAACCAGCAAUGAAAUAUAAAUGUACCGUAU
Non-coding RNA from Notechis scutatus (mainland tiger snake), 116 nucleotides. The record is from RefSeq and is a predicted model, not a curated record. Lineage: Eukaryota; Metazoa; Chordata; Lepidosauria; Squamata; Elapidae.